AGUGAACGCUGGCGGUAGGCCUAACACAUGCAAGUCGAACGGCAGCACAGUAAGAGCUUGCUCUUACGGGUGGCGAGUGGCGGACGGGUGAGGAAUACAUCGGAAUCUACUUUUUCGUGGGGGAUAACGUAGGGAAACUUACGCUAAUACCUCAUACGACCUACGGGUGAAAGCAGGGGAUCUUCGGACCUUGCGCGAUUGUAUGAGCCGAUGUCGGAUUAGCUAGUUGGCGGGGUAAAGGCCCACCAAGGCGACGAUCCGUAGCUGGUCUGAGAGGAUGAUCAGCCACACUGGAACUGAGACACGGUCCAGACUCCUACGGGAGGCAGCAGUGGGGAAUAUUGGACAAUGGGCGCAAGCCUGAUCCAGCCAUACCGCGUGGGUGAAGAAGGCCUUCGGGUUGUAAAGCCCUUUUGUUGGGAAAGAAAAGCAGCAGAUUAAUACCCCGCUGUUCUGACGGUACCCAAAGAAUAAGCACCGGCUAACUUCGUG
This 492-nucleotide ribosomal RNA is filed under the name uncultured bacterium. RNAcentral describes it as "partial 16S ribosomal RNA". It matches the Rfam family "Bacterial small subunit ribosomal RNA", at positions 29 to 507 of the family's 1533-position model. The record is from RNAcentral.